GGAUCUAUAGUUCAAUGGUAGAGUAUUUGAUUAUCGAUCGAGAGGUCACCUAUUAGAAUAUGGUUGGACCCU
Lupinus angustifolius (narrow-leaved blue lupine) is the source of this 72-nucleotide non-coding RNA. NCBI's taxonomy places the organism in Eukaryota, Viridiplantae, Streptophyta, Magnoliopsida, Fabales, Fabaceae. The record is from Rfam.